AUUUUUACACUAAAAAUAGUUAGGGCCUUUUCAGUGCGACGCGGACGACCCACGCGGACGCCCGCGAUGGACGGC
Maniola jurtina (meadow brown) is the source of this 75-nucleotide long non-coding RNA. RefSeq lists it as uncharacterized. The record is from RefSeq and is a predicted model, not a curated record. NCBI's taxonomy places the organism in Eukaryota, Metazoa, Arthropoda, Insecta, Lepidoptera, Nymphalidae. The transcript has 4 exons.